CCCAUUUCAGGACUGAACCUGGAGAGUUUCCAGUACUCUACCAGUCUCAGCUAUGGGAGGGAGAGUCAAGCAGAGGCAAACCCAUUCCAUUCCUAGGUGGUACAGUGGCUAGUGAGUGGAAGGCAAUCUGCUACAUGU
Molecule: small nucleolar RNA, 138 nt
Filed under: Ornithorhynchus anatinus (platypus)
Lineage: Eukaryota; Metazoa; Chordata; Mammalia; Monotremata; Ornithorhynchidae
Source: RNAcentral